Molecule: transfer RNA, 86 nt
Filed under: Flammeovirgaceae bacterium UBA7355
Lineage: Bacteria; Pseudomonadati; Bacteroidota; Cytophagia; Cytophagales; Flammeovirgaceae
Description: tRNA-Ser(tga)
Rfam family: tRNA
About the family: Transfer RNA (tRNA) molecules are approximately 80 nucleotides in length.
Source: RNAcentral
AGAGGAGUGGCAGAGUGGUCGAAUGCACCGGUCUUGAAAACCGGCGUACCGAGAGGUACCGGGGGUUCGAAUCCCUCCUCCUCUGC